CUUAAGGGGUUAAAGGGACACUCCAAACCCCUAACACACUUUAGCUUGCUGAAAAGCUUUUUGUGUAAAGAGUGUGUCCUCCUCUUUUUCGUUUUGGAAAUAGUGCAGAUUUCAAUAGAAAUUAAAUUUUUUACAAAUUAUACUGGUUACACGAUCUUGGCUUUUCAGCAAACAAUUGGUCCUGUUACUUCCUGGUUUGGUUAGCUUAUUUGCACUGACCUCAAGAGGCAGAAAUUACCCAGAGCACCUGCCUUGGAAAGACUUCUCAUUGAGCUGCAUUGGGAAGUCUGUGAUCGGACAGCCACAGAAAGUCUGGGCAGGGUUAGAACAGGAGAGCUGGCAAAGGCUGCAGACAUGAGACCUGCAGUCUUUGUAAGCUGUUUUUAGAUACAACUCCAAUAAAAAUAUGCAUAAUUAAAUGCACACACGGUUUCAUUUGGGGUACAUCUACUAAACAUAUAUUUAUUUUUUUUUAAAACCACUUUAAUUUUUGUAGUGGAGUGUCUCUUUAAGGUAUUAAGUGACAGUGCCCUUGUAUUAUUUUAGAAAAGUGCAGGUUUCAAGUCAAAGCGGCACUGUCAUGUGGAACUUACCUUUCCCCAAUCGAUUCCUCCUCUUUCCCUCUGUCAGGAUCUAUUCUUUAUUUCUUCCUGUCUGCUCUAGUUUUCUUUAAAACAUAAGACAAAGUAGGGACUAUUUUGUCUUCUGUAGGUUUCCUACGCCUAACCAUCUCUGACCAGUGGAGGAACAAAGUGUGCUCCGGUUCCAGUGGUCAGAGAAAUGAUCCCACAAUUCUUUCCUCCGUGAUCUUGCGAUGCUUCCUGGCCGUAUACCCAAACGUCCUGUCAUUUAGACGCUGGCGAAACUACCGAAUUACGUCCUAAGAGAAUGAGAACAGUUUGUUCAUUCGUGUUAGGACGCAAUUCGGACUUUGUUCGAAUCGGUAUUUUAUUCGAAUGAAUGAAAUUCCGAACCGUUUCAUGCCACGGCUGCAUCUUGCUGCCACUUAGUAGAUAGCUCCCUUAUUCCCACGGUAUACGGGAGCUGUCUACCAAAAGCCAAAUUUACUAAUACUAAGUAAAGAUUACUCAGUAUUAGUCAAUUCUGCCCCUAUUCGCUAUAUCGCGAGUAGGGGCAUGUCUAGUAAACAGUCUGCUCACUCUUGUAAAAAGAAGAAAUUUAGGGUGGGGGCCCUAAAUGAAAAUGGGGGGGGCUAUUGUCCUCCCCCUGGCCCCCACCCAUGAGCAGCGGGUGGGGGUCCUAAAUUAAAAUAAGGAGGGGGGGGACCUAUUUUCCUGCCCCUGCCCCCAGCCAUCAGUGGCGGGUGGGGGCCCUAAAUUACAAUCGGGGGGGGGGAACCUAUUGUCCUGUCCAAACUCAUGGGCGACGAGUGGGGCCUAAUUGUAAAAAUACCCCCCCCCCUGUCCAUGAAUAGGGGUCCCCAAGCCCCUAGUCAUCCCCCUCACCCUAAAAAUAGUGAGGGGGGAGACAAUAAAACUAAAUUCCUGAGAAAAAAAAAAAUCAUACCAUGAGAAGUCUUCUUUUUUCUAAAACCAAAAAAGGCCAAAUAAAAGAACAUAAUACCCGUUGAACUUUAAAAAAAAAAAAAAAAAAUCCUGAGCGCAAAAAAAAAUACGCAGAAAAAAAAAAAAAAACCCAGCCGCUAAAAAUCCAUCCUUACCUGGCGAGGGCACGGUGCAGAAUGAGCUCUGCAGGGCGGGGAAAAGCUUAUAAAACUUUCCCACGCCCUGCAAUUUGACUCAGAGAACUUUGAUCCAACCAAUCAGAUUGCUUUGAGACAUUUUACACAGCAUGGGAAAAUUCCAAAGAACUUUUCCCACUCUGUGUAAAAUGACAAGCACUCUGGUUCGAUUUCAAUUUCCCCCGUUUAGUCGAAUAGACCCCACUCGCGGGCCACAAGUGGGGGCUCAAGCGGGGCACUAUGUCCCCCCUGCUAGUUAAUAGAUGCCCCACCAUGACCCAACAGUUUUCGUUAGGACCAGGGCUGUUUCUACUGUGUUUGUGUUUAGCAGUAAUUUUCCUCUUACUCAUUUACUGUACCAAGACACAUUAUAUACCGUUUUUUGCGCCAUUAAAUGGUCUUUCUAAAGAUACCAUUAUUUUCAUCAUAUCAUAAUUUAUUAUAAAAAUUAUUAUAAAAUAUGACGAAAAAAAUGUAAAACACUUUUUCUAACUUUGACCACCAAAAUCUGUUAUGCAUCUACAACUGCCAAAAAACACCCGUUCUAAAUCGUUUCUAAAUUUUGUCCUGAGUUUAAAAAUACCCAAUGUUAACAUGUUCUUUUUUUUGUGUGUGUGUGUGUGUGCAAGUUAUAGGGCUAUAAAUACAAGUAGGACAUUGCUGUUUAAAAAUAUAUAUUUUUAAAAUGUAUCAAUAAUGACAUUGUAACACUGCUAUCUGUCAUAAAUCUCUGAAUCAAAC
This is a non-coding RNA of Pelobates cultripes (western spadefoot toad), 2443 nucleotides long. The record is from the annotation of a GenBank genome assembly. NCBI's taxonomy places the organism in Eukaryota, Metazoa, Chordata, Amphibia, Anura, Pelobatidae.